GAUGAACGCUGGCGGCGUGCCUAAUACAUGCAAGUCGAGCGAACGGACGAGAAGCUUUCUUUUCUGAUUUUAUCGCCGGACGGGUGAGUAACACGUGGUUAACCUACCUCUAAGACUGGGAUAACUUCGGGAAACCGGAUCUAAUACCGGAUAAUAUUUUGAACCGCAUUGUUCAAACGUUAAAGACGGUCUUGCUUUCACUUAUAGAUGGAUCCGCGCUGCAUUAGCUAGUUGGUAAGGUAACGGCUUACCAAGGCAACGAUGCAUAGCCGACCUGAGAGGGUGAUCGGACACACUGGAACUGAGACACGGUCCAGACUCCGACGGGAGGCAGCAGUAGGGAAUCUUCCGCAAUGGGCGAAAGCCUGACGGAGCAACGCCGCGUGAGUGAUGAAGGUCUUCGGAUCGGAAAACUAUGAUAGUAGGGAAGAACACAUGUGUAAGUAACUGUGAACAUCUUGACGGUACCUAAUCAGAAAGCCACGGCUAACUACGUG
RNAcentral lists this ribosomal RNA (497 nucleotides) under uncultured bacterium. RNAcentral describes it as "partial 16S ribosomal RNA". It matches the Rfam family "Bacterial small subunit ribosomal RNA", at positions 28 to 507 of the family's 1533-position model. The record is from RNAcentral.